Molecule: ribosomal RNA, 378 nt
Filed under: Triticum aestivum (bread wheat)
Lineage: Eukaryota; Viridiplantae; Streptophyta; Magnoliopsida; Poales; Poaceae
Description: partial small subunit ribosomal RNA
Source: RNAcentral
AGUCUCUUAGUCUGGAACUAUCAUGGGGCUGGCAAACCCGCGACACUCAAAGAGCUUCGUGACAUGACGAGGCAACAUGCCCCCUCGAUUCUUUGUAUCCUUGAAACAGAGAUUGAGGGAUCCCGUGUCGAAAGUUUAGCGGGUUCUUUAGAUUUCAAUAAAAGCUUUGCAGUAAGUAGUUCAGGCCGAAGUGGAGGCAUUGAUAUUUUUUGGAAUGAUUCAAUAAAAGUUGAAGUGAUUGGCUACUCCGAGUAUCACAUCGAUGUAACAAUUGAUGAUUUGUUUGAAACUAAAAACAGGGUCACUUGUCUACAGAGAAGCUCAAGUGGCAGAAUGCUACAAAACCUUGUACAUGUUGAAAGGAAUAACCAAUGCUAG